Molecule: ribosomal RNA, 449 nt
Filed under: uncultured Gammaproteobacteria bacterium
Lineage: Bacteria; Pseudomonadati; Pseudomonadota; Gammaproteobacteria
Description: bacterial SSU rRNA
Rfam family: Bacterial small subunit ribosomal RNA
Source: RNAcentral
ACGCUGGCGGCAGGCCUAACACAUGCAAGUCGAGCGCGAAAGCACUUCGGUGUGAGUAGAGCGGCGGACGGGUGAGUAACGCGUAAGAAUCUACCUAGUAGUGGGGGACAACUCGAGGAAACUCGAGCUAAUACCGCAUACGCCCUACGGGGGAAAGCGGGGGACCUUCGGGCCUCGCGCUAUUAGAUGAGCUUGCGUUGGAUUAGCUUGUUGGUGAGGUAAUGGCUCACCAAGGCUACGAUCCAUAGCUGGUCUGAGAGGAUGAUCAGCCACACCGGGACUGAGACACGGCCCGGACUCCUACGGGAGGCAGCAGUGGGGAAUAUUGCGCAAUGGGCGAAAGCCUGACGCAGCCAUGCCGCGUGUGUGAAGAAGGCCUUAGGGUUGUAAAGCACUUUCAAUUGGGAGGAAAAGUUAACGACUAAUACUCGUUAGCCUUGACGUUACCU